RNAcentral lists this ribosomal RNA (666 nucleotides) under uncultured Bacteroidales bacterium. RNAcentral describes it as "bacterial SSU rRNA". It matches the Rfam family "Bacterial small subunit ribosomal RNA", at positions 63 to 718 of the family's 1533-position model. The record is from RNAcentral. Lineage: Bacteria; Pseudomonadati; Bacteroidota; Bacteroidia; Bacteroidales.
CGAGGGGCAGCAUGGUCUUAGCUUGCUAAGGCCGAUGGCGACCGGCGCACGGGUGAGUAACACGUAUCCAACCUGCCGUCUACUCUUGGACAGCCUUCUGAAAGGAAGAUUAAUACAAGAUGGCAUCAUGAGUCCGCAUGUUCACAUGAUUAAAGGUAUUCCGGUAGACGAUGGGGAUGCGUUCCAUUAGAUAGUAGGCGGGGUAACGGCCCACCUAGUCUUCGAUGGAUAGGGGUUCUGAGAGGAAGGUCCCCCACAUUGGAACUGAGACACGGUCCAAACUCCUACGGGAGGCAGCAGUGAGGAAUAUUGGUCAAUGGGCGAGAGCCUGAACCAGCCAAGUAGCGUGAAGGAUGACUGCCCUAUGGGUUGUAAACUUCUUUUAUAAAGGAAUAAAGUCGGGUAUGUAUACCCGUUUGCAUGUACUUUAUGAAUAAGGAUCGGCUAACUCCGUGCCAGCAGCCGCGGUAAUACGGAGGAUCCGAGCGUUAUCCGGAUUUAUUGGGUUUAAAGGGAGCGUAGAUGGAUGUUUAAGUCAGUUGUGAAAGUUUGCGGCUCAACCGUAAAAUUGCAGUUGAUACUGGAUAUCUUGAGUGCAGUUGAGGCAGGCGGAAUUCGUGGUGUAGCGGUGAAAUGCUUAGAUAUCACGAAGAACUCCGAUUGCGA